GAAUUAAGAAAAAGAAGAGAAGUACAGGAGAUAUCAUUAAAUUAUAUAGUUCUCUCUUCGACUGUAGCCUUAUAACAGGGACAUUAAUAGAAUUAACAGGUGGAAUCUAAUUGUCUCCCUUGGAAUCUGGGAUGGCUGUCCUACUUAUUUGACCAACAGAAUUUGUCAGAAGGGACUUUCUGUAACUUCUGAAGCUGUCUCAUAAGAAGCCUUGCAGAUUCUGCUCAUGUCUCUUUCCUCUCUGGGAAACAAGUCGCGACUCAGGGAUAAGCCUGAGACACAUGGAGAGAACAUCCUGAUCAAUCUGGUCUUUGCUGCUACCCUGGUCAACAGCCUGAGCUGGAUACCUGGCUGACAAGUACCACCUUUUUCCUACACAGAUGACAACCCAGCCCAUGAGCACCAGGAAAAUUAAACAAAAAGCCGAAAGAAAAAAGAAAAGAAGAAGUCUGGGAGUGAAGUUAUAUGCUUAAAGGCAUGCAUCUAGCAAAUGGCAAAAAAAAUGGAUGAAGACACAAGACUGAUUGUCACUAAAAACCAUGUGGUAUGUUUGAGCAAGUUUUGCAGCCACAUCAGUUUCUGAUUAGACUUACAAUUUAAGUGGGGAAGUGACUUUGGAAGAGACAUGCGUGCUGUCAGCAGAUGGGAGAGAGGAUGGAGAAAGAUGGAGGGAGGCUGCUGUAACACCUGUUCUGGUUGGGAUUCUGAAUGAAUAUGAAAGAUGCCACUGCUACUCCUUCACUUGCUCAUUCUGCAAAAGUUUGUAGAUCUUCUGCAAGGAGAACGGCAUUGUUAACUACCUACAGGAAGUGGUGUUGAUUUCCAAGAAAGAUCUUGUUCUUCAAACUCUGUUACAGCGUCUUCUCUGGAGAAGUCAACAGUGAGAUGGGCUAAAUGAAGAAGGAGCAGCUUAUUGUCUUUGUUGGUUUUCUUUAUUUUCCUUCGAAGCAUCUGGGGGAAGAGGAAGACAAUGGAUGAGAUGGCGUAUGUUCUUUCCGCCCUGUGAAUGAAUCAGAUUUGAACUCCUAAGCAAAAUAGAAAAUGCAGAAAUGGUGCUCAGGCAAAACCUGAGAGACACCGGGCUCAAGCGACUCUCCUCUGAAGUCCAUCUGAUAAAGUCUGAAUUAUGGAUAAGUCCUUUCCCCCUCAAUAGUCUACUGCUUACUAAAGUGUAGCUCAAUGACUCUGUGGGCUUGGGUAAUCAGCAGGUAAGCAUAGCUAUGCCCAAUGAAGCAGGGGCUGUGAGAAGAAGCCUUGAAGAGUACCUAAAGUAGAAAAUAAGUGAACUUUCUCCUAAGCCCAUAGGAAACAUCACUAUCCUGCUGAAGGCAGGGCAGAGGGAACACAGCAGAGUAGGCUCAGAAUAACUGGGAUUUGGGCACUGAUAUUAAUGUCACCAUAUCUACACUUAUUGAUUGUUGAGAUUAUACAUUUGGCUUGAAACCACAGGAACUAAUAUACUCUAAAUAUAAGCUGAGAAAAAUUAAAAAUAACCACAACUACAACAG
This 1508-nucleotide long non-coding RNA is filed under the name Homo sapiens (human). RNAcentral describes it as "novel transcript". The record is from RNAcentral. Lineage: Eukaryota; Metazoa; Chordata; Mammalia; Primates; Hominidae.